Non-coding RNA from Physcomitrium patens, 1243 nucleotides. Lineage: Eukaryota; Viridiplantae; Streptophyta; Bryopsida; Funariales; Funariaceae. The record is from RefSeq and is a predicted model, not a curated record.
CCAGGGUCCUGCAUCGAUGUAGGUUGUGAUAAAUGGAUCACCGACUGGUGAAGAGCACUUAAAGUUCGUUUUUUUUUUUUUUUUUUUUUUUUUUUAAGAACAUAUUCCCUCUCACUAAUCUUAAAACGGUAUAACUGAACAAUUGUCCGAAGGUUAUUGAAGUAGGUCAAUGAGAAUACCAAGCGCAUCCAGUGGGAGCGUCCCGGAAUACAAGGAAGUUUAUAUAGCGUAAGAAGCUACUUGACCUUUGCAAACUGAGCGAUGUUAGCGAUUUUGCGAGUAAGUUAGUUGCCAUACUGCUUCGUUGUCUAUGUAUUAAUGUCUAUAUUUUUUUCUUUUUUUUCUUAGUGAGAUUGGGAUGUGUCUUUAGUUUUGACUCCGACUGUUAUCAAAUAGGUUUCUUCUGUCAAAUCAGAGGCUCGAUGUAUAGUGGUAUCGAAUUGUGUUAAAUCUUCAGAACUCGUUAUGGGUCAAAGAGUGAAGCUGAAGACGAGGUAGCAAAGGUGGAGCUGGCUGAUGAUUUUGGGAGAGAGAAUCAUGCCUCAGCGUAAUGCUGUGAAAUUUCAUGAAAUCGAAUCACGUAUGACAUUGCAGUUGGUGAAAGUUGAAGGAGGAUUUAUGAUGGAGCUGUCAUGUCUCUCGAGUAUGUGAUAAAGACGUCAGAGAUUUUGGCUCUAGGGAGAUCCAGAGAGCAACGGGAAGCACUUCGUAAAUAACGGAGGGCAGAGCAGGAAGCCAAUGUUAAGAGGAAGGAUAAGAGCGGAACUUGAGGAAUAAGAGAAAACCCUUAGAGGGAACGGACAAGGCGGAGGAAGACUAUGACGCCUCAGCAGACAAUGAAGCAGAAAUGAGUCCUGAUGGAGGUUCAAUUGGGGCUCGUGGAUUAAGGAAUAAUGACAUGGAAGAUGCUGAUUGGUACAGGCAGAAAGUAGGGAAGGAACUUGAACGUAAGUGCAAAGAUCUUUUUAUGAAUCUAUUGACUUUGCGGCAUGUUCCUUCAGUUUUUUAUUUCCUUUACUUCUAUGAUGCUGGUAUCCUGUGAUUUCUGAAAUGGUUUCAGGUAUACUCAUAGUUUCAGCAACAUCCUUAAGAACUUUAGACUUCAUUAGUUGCCGUUUCACGUACAAGAAAGAUUGGCUGUAUGCUGGUUCUCUGUCUUACAAGGGACGUACUUGGUAAUUUCGGGUUCAUGGAGUGUAUUCGCCCCAGAAUCAUUCUGUGAAAUGCUUUUACAUCUUCUAUA